GAGUUUGAUCCUGGCUCAGGAUGAACGCUGGUGGUUUACUUAACACAUGCAAGUUGAACGAAUUUUUUUUUUUAAGUGGCGAAUGGGUGAGUAACACGUUAAAAUUUACCUUUCAGAGGAAAAAAACAAUGAGAAAUUACUGUUAAGGUUCCGUAUACUGCUAAAGUGAUAUAUUUUGAGAUGCUGGGAGAUAAAUUUGCGCUUGAUUAGCUAUUUGAGAGAAUAAAAUUUUCUCAAGGCAAUAAUCAAUAGCUGAUCUUAGAGGAUGAUCAGCCACAUUGGAAUUGAGAUACGGUCCAAACUCUUACGAGAGACAGCAGUGAGGAAUUUUCCGCAAUGAACGAAAGUUUGACGGAGUAAGACCACGUGGUGGAAGACGGCCUUUGGGUUGUAAACAUCUUUUCUUUAAAAAGAUAAAAGACGAUAUUAGAAGAAUCAACAUCGGCUAACUCUGUGCCAGCAGCCGCGGUAAGACAGAGGAUGUAAGCGUUAUCCGAAUUAAUUGGGCGUAAAGAGUCUGUAGGUCGUUUUUAAAGUCUUUUGUUAAAGAUUAAGGCUUAACCUUAAAAAUGCAAGAGAAACUUAAAGACUAGAGUAUGAUAAGGGUAACGAGAAUUCUCAGUGUAGUGGUGAAAUACGUAGAGAUUGAGAAGAAUACCAGAAGCGAAGGCGCGUUACUGGAUUAUUACUAACAUUGAAAGACGAAAGCUAGGGUAGCGAAUGGGAUUAGAUACCCCAGUAGUCUUAGCUGUAAACGAUGGAGAUUAGAUUUUUUUUAUAUCUAAUAAUAUGCUGCACAUAUAUGAUUAUUAAUUGUAAUUGUUAAUAUUGUGGCUAUAUAAUUUUGUUAUAGCUCGUCGAUUAUAUAUGUUGUAUUAAAUUUAAUGAAAAGAGUCGUAGCUAACGCAUUAAAUCUCCCGCCUGGGAAGUAUACUCGCAAGAGUGAAACUUAAAGGAAUUGACGGGGGCCUGCACAAGCGGUGGAGCAUGUGGUUUAAUUCGAUGCAAAAGAAAAACCUUACCAGAAAUUGACAUACCACGAUUUCGGUCGUUAGUAAUGAAAUUUACUUUUAGUGUACAGGUGGUGCAUGGCCGUCGUCAGCUCGUGUCGUGAGAUGUUGGGUUAAGUUCCGCAACGAGCGCAACCCUUUUUUCUUGUUGUAAUAUAUAAGAUCAAGAAAUACAGCUAGUGAUAAACUAGAGGAAGGCGAGGAUGACGUCAGGUCCGCAUGCCCUUUAUAUUCUGGGCGACACACGUGCUACAAAGAUUGGGAAAAAAUGAAAAUGUUAUAUUUUGUAAGUGGGAUAAUGCUAGUACAAACUAGACUUAACCUUAUUUAAUACAGUAUAGUCAAUCAUUAAACUCAAUCUUUAGUUCGGAUUCAUUUCUGCAACUCGAAAUGAUGAAGUUGGAAUCGCUAGUAAUCGUUAGUCAGCCAUAUAACGGUGAAUGUGUUCUCGGGCCUUGUACACACCGCCCGGUC
Molecule: ribosomal RNA, 1484 nt
Filed under: uncultured marine eukaryote
Lineage: Eukaryota
Description: bacterial SSU rRNA
Rfam family: Bacterial small subunit ribosomal RNA
Source: RNAcentral